GGCUGGUCUGAUGGCAGUGGGUUAUCAAAGCUUGUUAACAUUAGUGUCACUGCAGUUGGUAUACAGACCCCCACUGCUAAAUUUGACUGGCUUUAA
This is a Y RNA of Callithrix jacchus (white-tufted-ear marmoset), 96 nucleotides long. It matches the Rfam family "Y RNA". From Rfam's summary of the family: Y RNAs are components of the Ro ribonucleoprotein particle (Ro RNP), in association with Ro60 and La proteins. The Y RNAs and Ro60 and La proteins are well conserved, but the function of the Ro RNP is not known. In humans the RNA component can be one of four small RNAs -- hY1, hY3, hY4 and hY5. The record is from Ensembl. Lineage: Eukaryota; Metazoa; Chordata; Mammalia; Primates; Cebidae.